UGGGUUUGACAUGCACAGGACUGCCCUAGAGAUAGGGUUUCCCUUGUGGCCUGUGUGCAGGUGGUGCAUGGCUGUCGUCAGCUCGUGUCGUGAGAUGUUGGGUUAAGUCCCGCAACGAGCGCAACCCUCGUUCCAUGUUGCCAGCGCGUAAUGGCGGGGACUCAUGGGAGACUGCCGGGGUCAACUCGGAGGAAGGUGGGGAUGACGUGUAACCGAAUCU
Molecule: unclassified non-coding RNA, 220 nt
Filed under: uncultured Actinomycetes bacterium
Lineage: Bacteria; Bacillati; Actinomycetota; Actinomycetes
Description: uncultured actinobacterium contains 16S-23S intergenic spacer region
Rfam family: Bacterial small subunit ribosomal RNA
Source: RNAcentral